CAGAGCACCGAGCUGAAAGUGGAGAUGGUGGCGCUGCAUGAGAAGAGGGUACGGAAAUGCCUGUCCAAAGUGAAAGGGGUGGAGAGGGUGGAGGUGGAGGGGAGCAUCCAGAAGGUGGUGGUGACCGGGUAUGCGAACCGGAACAAGAUCCUCAAGGCGCUCAGGAGGGUGGGGCUCAGGGUGGAGCUCUGGUCGCCGCGGAACGAGCUGCUCAGCGCCUACGCCGCCGGGAGCUUCGCCUUCAACAACUACGGCUUCUUCUGA
This 264-nucleotide ribosomal RNA is filed under the name Triticum aestivum (bread wheat). RNAcentral's name for it is "partial small subunit ribosomal RNA". Lineage: Eukaryota; Viridiplantae; Streptophyta; Magnoliopsida; Poales; Poaceae. The record is from RNAcentral.